Molecule: long non-coding RNA, 447 nt
Filed under: Vitis vinifera (wine grape)
Lineage: Eukaryota; Viridiplantae; Streptophyta; Magnoliopsida; Vitales; Vitaceae
Description: long non-coding RNA (VVIN_LNC006495)
Source: RNAcentral
GAGGUCUCGAGCAAAAUCAAACCCGGCUCUCAGAAUAGGUCUGCCAGAGUCUGAAACUGAAGCCCAAGUGUGCUGAUAAUCAUACAUACCCUCUGCAGGAACCGAAAGUAGUGCUUGUUUCAAUACUUGUAGAGGAACAAAUUGGGUUUUUCGGUAUCUUGGGGGCAUUAGAUUUCUGACACAUUCCGGCCUGAUAAUACUUUCAUGCAGCGUAACGCCAUGGCAGAGGCUUUGGAUUGCUGGGAUUAUGAGCUGUUGGAAGAGUCUUAAGGUUUCUGUGAGGUUCUUGGUGGAACACGCAAGGAUAUCAAUGUAGUGACCCAACUGCCCUCCAAGUUCGAUUCUGACAUAGAUACCAUUAAUAUUUAUCAAGAUGAGGUACUUCUCAAGACUGUAGGUUGCUCCAUGUUGGUGCUUCAACCCCAUGACUCUGUUGUGGAGAUGCAC